GGGAAUGUGGCUCAGUGGUAGAGUGCUUGCCUAGUAUGCAUGAAGCCCUGGGUUCGAUACCUCAGUACCA
Molecule: transfer RNA, 70 nt
Filed under: Dipodomys ordii (Ord's kangaroo rat)
Lineage: Eukaryota; Metazoa; Chordata; Mammalia; Rodentia; Heteromyidae
Rfam family: tRNA
About the family: Transfer RNA (tRNA) molecules are approximately 80 nucleotides in length. Their secondary structure includes four short double-helical elements and three loops (D, anti-codon, and T loops).
Source: Rfam by way of RNAcentral